RNAcentral lists this ribosomal RNA (2187 nucleotides) under Triticum aestivum (bread wheat). RNAcentral describes it as "partial small subunit ribosomal RNA". Lineage: Eukaryota; Viridiplantae; Streptophyta; Magnoliopsida; Poales; Poaceae. The record is from RNAcentral.
AUGGAAAUGCACAUGCUGCUUCCACUAGUUACCACCACGGUGCUCCUCUCGAUCCCAGCAUGGCAGCCGUUGGCCGCGGCGCCGGCGUGCCAGCGGCAGUGCGGCGGAGUGGACAUCCCGUACCCGUUCGGCAUCGGCCGCGGCUGCUUCCUGGACACGGGGGACAGGACCUUCGAGGUCACCUGCCGCAAAGCCACCGCUUCCGACGACGCCCGGCCCUUCGUCGACGGCUACGAGGUGCUCGGCAUUGACCCGGGCCGCGGCAAGAUACGCAUCCGCAGCCCGGUCAGCUCGUGGUGCUACGACGGCGCGAGGCGGUCCAUGGGCGCGCCGCACACGUGGUCCUUCAACUCGACGGCGCUCCGCGUCUCCGACGCGGACAACAAGCUCGCCGUCGUCGGGUGCAGCGCGCUCGCCUACAUCGGGUCGCAGGACGGCGCCGUCGAGAACCGGUACGUGGUCGGGUGCCACGCCGAGUGCGCGAGCGCGGCGUCGCUGUCCGACGGUCCGUGCAACGGCACGGGAUGCUGCCUCACGCCGGUGCCCCCGGGGAUCAGCUCCUUUGACGUGGCCUUCGACGACGCCUACAACAACUCCGCUGUCGCCGGCUUCAGCCCGUGCAGCUAUGCCGUGCUGGUCGAAGCGGCGGCGUUCGAGUUCCGGGCGACCUAUGUCACCACCGGCGCGCUAGGGGACGCGGGCGGCGUUCAGGUGCCGGCGGUGCUGGACUGGGCGGUGGGCAACCAGACGUGCCGGGAUGUGCUGCGGAAGAAGACGGGCUCGUACGCCUGCGCGAGUGCCAACAGCGAGUGCGUCGACGCCAAGAACGGCCCGGGCUACCUCUGUAACUGCUCCAAAGGGUACCAAGGAAACCCUUACGUCAUCCAUGGCUGCCAAGAUAUUAACGAGUGUGAGGAGAAGGCGUCGUACCCAUGUGCCAUUCGUGAUUCCUGUAUCAACACGAUCGGAGGGUACAAAUGCCCAUGCCCUGCACAAAAGCGAGGCUAUUCUGAUGGAACAUGCGAAGCGGAUAAAUCCAUAACUAAAUUGCAAAUCGCAAUAGGUUUUAGCAUUGGCGUGGUUAUGCUGGCACUGGGCAUGACCUGCACCUACGCCAUCCAAGAGAAGCGGCGGGUCGCCGUCGUCAAGACGCGGCACUUCCGGCAGCACGGCGGCCAGCUGCUGUUCGAGGAGAUGAAGAAGUCCAACAAACAGGGAAUGUCCUUCACGCUCUUCACCAAGCAGGAGCUGCAGGAGGCCACCGGCAACUUCGACGAGCGGCACGUGCUGGGCAAGGGCGGCAACGGCACCGUGUACCGUGGCACGCUCCAGGACGGCACGGCGGUGGCGAUCAAGCGGUGCAGGAUCGCCGGCGAAGACGAGCGGCAGCAGCGGGAGUUCGGCAUGGAGACGCUCAUCCUCUCCCAGAUCAACCACAAGAACAUCGUGAAGCUCUACGGGUGUUGCCUCGAGGUGGAGGUCCCCAUGCUCGUCUACCAGUUCAUCCCCAACGGCACCCUCUACCAGCUCAUCCACGGCGGCGCCGCCGUCGUGCCGUUCGCGGUGCGUCUGAGGAUCGCGCACGAGACGGCCGAGGCGCUGGCGUACCUGCACUCGAUGGCAUCGCCGCCGAUCAUCCACGGCGACGUCAAGUCCCCCAACAUCCUCCUCGACGAGAACUACGGCGCCAAGGUGUCCGACUUUGGGGCGUCGUCGCUGGCGCCGGCGCCGACGGACGAGGCGCACCUGGUGACGUUCGUGCAGGGGACGUGCGGGUACCUGGACCCGGAGUACAUGCAGACGUGCCGGCUGACGGAGAAGAGCGACGUGUACAGCUUCGGCGUGGUGCUCCUGGAGCUGCUCACGUCGCGUAAGGCACUGAACCUCGCCGCCCCCGACGACGAGAAGAGCGUCGUCGCGAGCUUCCUCACGGCGGCGAGGGACGGCAGGCUGGACGGCCUGCUGGACGCGCGGAUCAAGAGCGAGGUGAGGGCGGAGACGCUGGAGCAGGUGGCCAAGCUCGCGAAGCUGUGCCUGGAGAUGUCCGGCGAGAGGAGGCCCUCCAUGCGAGAGGUCGCCGAGGAGCUUGACGGGAUCAGGAAGGCGUCGUCACAGAAUCCAUGCUUAUUAGGUGAGGGUGAAGAAGCUCUGUCACAGUACUCUGUUGUGGAUAUGUGUGACUGGUGA